UUUUAGGGGAUUUUAAUCAUUUUUGAAUUCUAAAUUCAAUGCACUUUAUCUGCCACCCUAAA
RNAcentral lists this transfer RNA (62 nucleotides) under Polyplax reclinata. RNAcentral's name for it is "tRNA-Leu". Lineage: Eukaryota; Metazoa; Arthropoda; Insecta; Psocodea; Polyplacidae. The record is from RNAcentral.